CUUCGGGGACAUUGGUGACAGGUGGUGCAUGGUUGUCGUCAGCUCGUGUCGUGAGAUGUUGGGUUAAGUCCCGCAACGAGCGCAACCCUUGUCUUUAGUUGCCAUCAUUAAGUUGGGCACUCUAGAGGGACUGCCAGGGAUAACCUGGAGGAAGGUGGGGAUGACGUCAAAUCAUCAUGCCCCUUAUGCUUAGGGCUACACACGUGCUACAAUGGGUAGUACAGAGGGUUGC
Molecule: ribosomal RNA, 232 nt
Filed under: Clostridioides difficile
Lineage: Bacteria; Bacillati; Bacillota; Clostridia; Peptostreptococcales; Peptostreptococcaceae
Description: partial 16S ribosomal RNA
Rfam family: Bacterial small subunit ribosomal RNA
Source: RNAcentral